This 494-nucleotide long non-coding RNA is filed under the name Carica papaya (papaya). Its description in RNAcentral is "long non-coding RNA (CPAP_LNC004132)". The record is from RNAcentral. Lineage: Eukaryota; Viridiplantae; Streptophyta; Magnoliopsida; Brassicales; Caricaceae.
UGAUGAUUUUAAUGUAAUAAAAUAUAAUAUGAAGUCGGUAUUAUUGCUUGGUAAAAAUAAAGAAAAAAAAGAAAAAAAAGAGAGAAAAGUGGAAUGAAGCAUGAGUAGUCAGAAAUAUAUAUCUGUAUUGACAUGCAUAUUGCAUCAAGUGUCUUGUUAUGUUUUUCAUCUCUAAGGGGUAUUUGUUCCCCUAGCCCUUCAGGGUAUCUGUUUCCCUCUCCCCUAUUUGGUUUGCAAAGAUGUAAAGAGACCGUUCCCAGUGGAUGAUAUCGUACCCUCUAAAGAGAGUGGUAACGCGAAUAUAUGUUAGGAGUCACUCUUUGCUAAGUACUGUCGUAAUUGUAGAUAUCUGAUAUGGCCACUAUGGUUGGUAUGGUCGUAGUCGUAGAUCAUACCAUGGUUUGUCCAGCCAGAAAUGGGCCUGAGUAAAUUGCCAUAUCUGUAUAUGAUAUUGUCAUUCCACUUAGAUAGUUGGAAAUUUGUAUCUGCCUUUA